Molecule: ribosomal RNA, 984 nt
Filed under: Pseudomonas sp. YSA5_2A2
Lineage: Bacteria; Pseudomonadati; Pseudomonadota; Gammaproteobacteria; Pseudomonadales; Pseudomonadaceae
Description: bacterial SSU rRNA
Rfam family: Bacterial small subunit ribosomal RNA
Source: RNAcentral
GCGUCGAGCGGAGAGAAGAGCUUGCUCUUCAUUCACGGCGGACGGGUGAGUAAUGCCUAGGAAUCUGCCUGGUAGUGGGGGACAACGUUUCGCGCUAAUACCGCAUACGUCCUACGGGAGAAAGCAGGGGACCUUCGGGCCUUGCGCUAUCAGAUGAGCCUAGGUCGGAUUAGCUAGUUGGUGAGGUAAUGGCUCACCAAGGCGACGAUCCGUAACUGGUCUGAGAGGAUGAUCAGUCACACUGGAACUGAGACACGGUCCAGACUCCUACGGGAGGCAGCAGUGGGGAAUAUUGGACAAUGGGCGAAAGCCUGAUCCAGCCAUGCCGCGUGUGUGAAGAAGGUCUUCGGAUUGUAAAGCACUUUAAGUUGGGAGGAAGGGCAGUAAGAUAAUACCUUGCUGUUUUGACGUUACCGACAGAAUAAGCACCGGCUAACUCUGUGCCAGCAGCCGCGGUAAUACAGAGGGUGCAAGCGUUAAUCGGAAUUACUGGGCGUAAAGCGCGCGUAGGUGGUUUGUUAAGUUGGAUGUGAAAGCCCCGGGCUCAACCUGGGAACUGCAUCCAAAACUGGCAAGCUAGAGUACGGUAGAGGGUGGUGGAAUUUCCUGUGUAGCGGUGAAAUGCGUAGAUAUAGGAAGGAACACCAGUGGCGAAGCGACCACCUGGACUGAUACUGACACUGAGUGCGAAAGCGUGGGAGCACAGGAUUAGAUACCCUGGUAGUCCACGCCGUAACGAUGUCAACUAGCCUUGGAAUCCUUGAGAUUUUAGUGGCGCAGCUACGCAUUAAGUUGACGCCUGGGGAGUACGCCGCAAGGUUAAAACUCAAAUGAAUUGACGGGGGCCCGCACAAGCGGUGGACAUGUGGUUUAUUCGAAGCAACGCGAAAACUUACCGCCUUGACUGCAAAUUUCUAAUGGCCUCGGGAACUCUGCGCUGCAGGUCGCCUCCGGGGAUCAGCAGCCCUGUGGUACUACAAGUCA